CGCUGGCGGCACGCCUAAUACAUGCAAGUCGAACGAAGUAGCAAUACUUAGUGGCAGACGGGUGAGUAACAUGUAGGUAUCUACCCUAUGGUGAGGAAUAACACGAGGAAACUUGUGCUAAUACCUCAUAAGUCUUUACAGAGAAAGCUUUAUGCGCCAUUGGAUGAGCCUGCACUUGAUUAGUUUGUUGGUAGGGUAAUGGCCUACCAAGACUUUGAUCAAUAGCUGAUUUGAGAGGAUGAUCAGCCACAUUGGGACUGAGACACGGCCCAAACUCCUACGGGAGGCAGCAGUAGGGAAUCUUGCACAAUGGGGGCAACCCUGAUGCAGCGAUGCCGCGUGAGUGAAGAAGGCCCUUGGGUUGUAAAGCUCUUUCGUCGGGGAAGAAAAUGACUGUACCCGAAUAAGAAGGUCCGGCUAACUUCGUGCCAGCAGCCGCGGUAAUACGAAGGGACCUAGCGUAGUUCGGAAUUACUGGGCUUAAAGAGUUCGUAGGUUGUUAAAAAAGUUGGUGGUGAAAUCCCAGAGCUUAACUCUGGAACUGCCAUCAAAACUUUUUAGCUAGAGUAUGAUAGAGGAAAGCAGAAUUUCUAGUGUAGAGGUGAAAUUCGUAGAUAUUAGAAAGAAUACCAAUUGCGAAGGCAGCUUUCUGGAUCAUUACUGACACUGAGGAACGAAAGCAUGGGUAGCGAAGAGGAUUAGAUACCCUCGUAGUCCAUGCCGUAAACGAUGUGUGUUAGACGUUGGAAAUUUAUUUUCAGUGUCGCAGCGAAAGCAUUAAACACACCGCCUGGGGA
RNAcentral lists this ribosomal RNA (797 nucleotides) under uncultured Pelagibacteraceae bacterium. RNAcentral's name for it is "bacterial SSU rRNA". It matches the Rfam family "Bacterial small subunit ribosomal RNA", at positions 34 to 879 of the family's 1533-position model. The record is from RNAcentral. Lineage: Bacteria; Pseudomonadati; Pseudomonadota; Alphaproteobacteria; Candidatus Pelagibacterales; Candidatus Pelagibacteraceae.